ACUCCUACGGGAGGCAGCAGUGGGGAAUAUUGCACAAUGGGGGAAACCCUGAUGCAGCCAUGCCGCGUGUGUGAAGAAGGCCUUCGGGUUGUAAAGCACUUUCAGUAGGGAGGAAGGUAGUGUAGUUAACACCUGCAUUAUUUGACGUUACCUACAGAAGAAGCACCGGCUAACUCCGUGCCAGCAGCCGCGGUAAUACGGAGGGUGCAAGCGUUAUCCGGAAUCACUGGGUUUAAAGGGUACGUAGGCGGUCUAAUAAGUCUGACGUGAAAGCUUUUGGCUUAACCAAGAAAUUGCGUUGGAUACUGUUAGACUAGAAUGAGUUGAAGUAUGCGGAAUGGGUCAUGUAGCGGUGAAAUGCAUAGAUAUGACUUAGAACACCGAGAGCGAAGGCAGCAUACUAUGACUAGAUUGACGCUGAGGUACGAAAGCGUGGGUAGCGAACAGGAUUAGAUACCCUGGU
RNAcentral lists this ribosomal RNA (463 nucleotides) under uncultured bacterium. RNAcentral describes it as "bacterial SSU rRNA". It matches the Rfam family "Bacterial small subunit ribosomal RNA", at positions 335 to 791 of the family's 1533-position model. The record is from RNAcentral.